RNAcentral lists this transfer RNA (72 nucleotides) under Camelus bactrianus (Bactrian camel). It matches the Rfam family "tRNA". Rfam says of the family: Transfer RNA (tRNA) molecules are approximately 80 nucleotides in length. The record is from Rfam by way of RNAcentral. Lineage: Eukaryota; Metazoa; Chordata; Mammalia; Artiodactyla; Camelidae. RNAcentral also lists the same sequence under 2 other names.
GAAGAAAUAGCUCAGUGGUAGGACACGUGCUUAGCAUGCACUAGGUCCUGGGUUCAAUCCCCAGUACCUCCA